GACGAACGCUGGCGGCGUGCCUAAUACAUGCAAGUCGAACGCACCCUUCGGGGUGAGUGGCGCACGGCUGAGUAACACGUGGGAAUCUGUCUUCUAGUGGGGGAUAACGUCUCGAAAGAGACGCUAAUCCCGCAUACGCUCCGUGAGGAGGAAAGGCGCAAGUCGCUAGAAGAGGAGCCUGCGGCCCAUCAGGUAGUUGGAGAGGUAAUGGCUCACCAAGCCUAUGACGGGUAGCUGGUCUGUGAGGACAACCAGCCAGACUGGGACUGAGAACGGCCCAGACUCCUACGGGAGGCAGCAGUAAGGAAUUUUCGUCAAUGGGGGAAACCCUGAACGAGCAACGCCGCGUGGAGGAUGACGGUCUUCGGAUUGUAAACUCCUUUUGUGAGGGACGAUAAUGACGGUACCUCGCGAAUAAGCCCCGGCUAACUCUGUGCCAGCAGCCGCGGUAAUACAGAGGGGGCAAGCGUUGUCCGGAGUUACUGGGCGUAAAGCGCACGUAGGCGGUCCUGCAAGUGGUGUGUGAAACCAAUCAGCUUAACUGAUUGACGCCAUGCCAAACUGCGAGACUCGAGUCAUGGAGAGGUAGUUCGAAUUGCUGGUGUAGUGGUGAAAUGCGUAGAUAUCAGCAGGAAGACCAAGGGAGAAAUCAGACUACUGGCCAUGAACUGACGCUCAGGUGCGAAAGCGUGGGGAGCGAACUGGAUUAGAUACCCAGGUAGUCCACGCCGUAAACGAUGUAUGCUCGGUAUUUGGGCCUGUUAAGGGCUUGGGUACCUCAGGUAACCCGGUAAGCAUACCGCCUGGGAAGUACGAACGCAAGUUUA
RNAcentral lists this ribosomal RNA (827 nucleotides) under uncultured bacterium. Its description in RNAcentral is "bacterial SSU rRNA". It matches the Rfam family "Bacterial small subunit ribosomal RNA", at positions 28 to 896 of the family's 1533-position model. The record is from RNAcentral.